CUGCCGCCAUUACGUACCACACUUUUGUGGCCACCCAGAAGAAAGCUGCUUGAGUGUGGCUUUCCAAUCUUCAGCUAUACUCAAUUAGGUCAUCUGAUCAGCCGAGUAGGAGAUUUAUGGGGCAAUGCAUCCAUAGACAAAGUCAUAGGAAGAUGUCGACUAGCCUGAUGAAUAUUGAGCAAAAGAGAGAUGACACUCUCCUUCUUCACUACCUCAAGCUCAAAGAAGGUCUCACAAGCUAUCGGCCCACAUUGUCCAUAUAGUCUCGAAGGGUGAUUAUUGUAUAAGUAGAGGAAGAGUGAACCAAUUAGACUUUAAAAACUUAAAUAUAAAGUAAGUGAAGAAAGUUGAACUUAGUCGAUAUGGCAACAUGAGUGG
This 378-nucleotide long non-coding RNA is filed under the name Elaeis guineensis (African oil palm). RNAcentral's name for it is "long non-coding RNA (EGUI_LNC050856)". Lineage: Eukaryota; Viridiplantae; Streptophyta; Magnoliopsida; Arecales; Arecaceae. The record is from RNAcentral.